RNAcentral lists this ribosomal RNA (253 nucleotides) under uncultured bacterium. Its description in RNAcentral is "partial 16S ribosomal RNA". It matches the Rfam family "Bacterial small subunit ribosomal RNA", at positions 524 to 776 of the family's 1533-position model. The record is from RNAcentral.
UACGUAGGGGGCAAGCGUUGUCCGGAAUCAUUGGGCGUAAAGCGCGUGUAGGCGGUCCGGUAAGUCCGCUGUGAAAGUCGGGGGCUCAACCCUCGGAUGCCGGCGGAUACUGUCGGGCUUGAGUACGGAAGAGGCGAGUGGAAUUCCUGGUGUAGCGGUGAAAUGCGCAGAUAUCAGGAGGAACACCAAUUGCGAAGGCAGCUCGCUGGGACGUUACUGACGCUGAGACGCGAAAGCGUGGGGAGCAAACAGG